AUUAGCAUACAUUUAUUUUAUGAGUUCAUAUUUGUACAAAAGAGCAUCUCAAUCACAAAGAACAAUGAAGAGUUUUAGCUGAACCCCUUUUUGAAAUCAGGGGUUUACAGAAGCCAGAUGCAGCCCUCCAACAGCUGGCACAUUCAAUUUACCUGUGAAUUUUUGCUUGGGAUUUGCCCUACCAGUGAUAUAUUGACUCAGCUAAGUAGCUUCAAAUGGUGACAGUUUUACAUGACAACUUGUACUGGAGUCCCAGGAUACACUUUGACUGGUCCAGAAAACCUUGAAAGAGAAGUGGUAGGAUUUUGAUUUCAUGGGCCACAUUGAACAACCACACACAUUGUAUAUUACAAAUAUAAAUGUUAUACCCCUGAAAUCCACAACAAGCACAAAAUACAGUCUUCGUACUGCAAUAUGGUAAGAAAUGUCACACCAUCCCUUAUUAUACAACGAAUAUGACUUGAUGGGAGAGCAGCAUUCAGCAAACAUGCUGGAGGCUUUCGUAGCAUUUAUUCAAGCUGGGACUCUGGGAUGCAACAACAAACACAGUAGUACGAUAUUCUGCGAGUGGGUAUACCCAGGCCGGGCAUUUACAAGGAAUAGAAAGAUCAGGCCAGGUACGGUGGCUCAUGCCUGUAAUCGCAGCACUUUGGGAGGCCAAGGUGGGCAAAUCAUGAGGUCAGGAGAUCGAGACCAUCCUGGCUAACAUGGUGAAACCCCGUCUCUACUAAAAAUACAAAAAUUAGCCGAGCAUGGUGGCGGGCGCCUGUAGUCCCAGUUACUCAGGAGGCUGAGGCAGGAGAAUCACUUGAAUCCGGGAAGCGGAGGUUGCAGUGAGCCGAGAUCGCGCCACUGCACUCCAGCCUGGGCUACAGAGGGAGACUCCAUCUCAAAAAAAAAAAAAAAGGAAAAGAAAAAAAAAGAAUCAUCAGAGAAGCCGGGCACAGUGAUUCACAACUGUAAUCCCAGCACUUUGGGAAGCCGAGGUGGGUGGAUCACUUGAGGUCAGGAGUUCAAGACCAGCCUGGACAACAUGGUGAAACUCCAUCUCUACUAAAAAUACAAAAAUUAGCUGGGUGUGGUGGCAAAUGUCUGUAAUCACAGCCACUCAGGGGGCUGAGGCAGGAGAAUCACUUGAACCAGGGAGGCGGAGGUUGCAGUGAGCCGAGACUGUGGCACUGCACUUCAACCUGGGCAACCAAGCAAGACGUUUCAAAAAAAAAAAAAACAGUCAACAGAGAGCUACACUUCUUGACUAUGGAUUUGCAAGAAGUUCACAUAUGUGUGUGGAGAUGGCAGGAAAAGGUGUAUCCCAACCACUGCACAAGAGAAAAGGAUGGUGAUCUGAGGCUAGACAGCCAGCUUGGGAAAGGGGCAAAAAUCAGUCUUCGAGGUUUUAGGUUAUGUCAAUCAAGUGAAUUCUAAAAUUUCCUUCUGUUUCUUGGCACUUGCUGGGAAUGCAAGAAUCCAAUAGGAGUUUCUGCCUGCUUGGGAGGGGGUCUCUUACCUGCACCCUGGGCGCCAGGGUAGGGGUGUAGAGACAGAACAUCCAUUUUUUGGCUUUGAUAAGGGGGCGAAAUAGGGGUGGCUUCCCAGAAAUAAGAAAGGGGGUUGAGGCCAGCCACAGUGGUUUAUGCCUGUAAUCUCAGCACUUUGGGAGGCCGAGGCAGGCAAAUCACUUGAGUUCGGGAGUUCGAGACCAGCCUGACCAACAUGGCGAAACCCCAUCUC
Molecule: long non-coding RNA, 1731 nt
Filed under: Macaca fascicularis (crab-eating macaque)
Lineage: Eukaryota; Metazoa; Chordata; Mammalia; Primates; Cercopithecidae
Description: lncRNA (ENSMFAG00000062221.1)
Source: RNAcentral